UAAAAUACUAUAGAUCACUUUUUAAAGUUUUUGGAAAACUCUACCUCAAGAAAACUCUAUUUGAGGAUACUUUUUAAGGUUAAGUUACUUAAAGUUCAUUCAUUUCCUAUCACUAGGGUGUGAGGAAGGCAAAGAAAAGCUCUGACAUCUCCCCUCACCCACAGCAAUCAGGUGGCUAAAGCUGGUACAGAGAGAGGGACAAUGGAUGUUGGGUUUGGCCUUAAAUGAGAGGAGAACUGCACGUUUGCAAGAGGUUCGUGUAUCCUAUAAGAUGGACUCAGAAGGAAGGGCACCAGCUGGUGUUCAGGAGAAAGAGCCAAGCAAAUGAACAGGAGGGGUCCUUUCUGAGUUGCACUUGAAAUAGGCAUUUUAGUUUUGCUUAUUUAUGACACUGUUUUUAACAGGAAAGAUACAUUCCAAGUAAAUUUCUGUCACUUUACUUUUGUUUUUAAUGUGUAUCCUUCCUGCCAUUAGUUUUGGCCUUCCAUAGAGAGAGCUCAUGGUUUAAACCCUGUUCCUCCACUUAUUAAGUAUGUUUAGUUUUGUUCCUUGGUCUCGGGAAGAUUCUGUGAGUUGAGGCCACUCAGGAGUUACGGUGAGUCAUAUGAAACCAUAUACAAGGCAGUCCAUGGCACUAAGUCUCUUCCUCUUG
Molecule: long non-coding RNA, 652 nt
Filed under: Bos taurus (domestic cattle)
Lineage: Eukaryota; Metazoa; Chordata; Mammalia; Artiodactyla; Bovidae
Description: long non-coding RNA NONBTAT025057
Source: RNAcentral